UCCUUUGGUCGUGGGCUCGUCGCCCUGAGCCCCUGACCAGUUCUUCCCUGACUCUUCCAAAACCUAGCCCUCAACCCCAACCACGCCGCCGCCGCCACCAACCACUCGACCGCAGCGCCGGCUUCGUCCCCAAACACAGACGCCGCCGACCGCCUAGUCGUCGCCGAGCACCCUUCUCUAACAAGGAAACCCUUCGUCGGUUCGUCCCCAUCCCCCGCGCACCCAGCGCCUGCUUUCUCUCGAGGAAAGCCGUCGUCCGCCCUCCAUCCCCACCACAAUAACGACCUCCUCCACAGGUUUCCUCCGCCGAGCAGGCCUCCUCCUACUCCUCAAGCUUUCUCCCCCGAGCAGGGCCUCCUCCUCCACGAGCAUCCUUCCCUGAGCACUAAGUUGGGGUCGCCUCCUGUUUCCCUCACCCGAGCAGCGGGCCUUCCUGUACGGCCCCCCUCCCGAGAAGCUCCACCUCCUCUACAUCCUCCCCCAGGUGCAGCGCCGCCUCCUUGCUCACCGAGAGCACUUGGCCGCUCUGAAGAUAACGACUAGCUUUGUCAUCCGAUAAACCAAGUUUUGCUUAUGGUGAAGAGAUCUUCCAUUGCAGCAAAUGGAUGCUUCAAGCCUUCAACUACAUACUAAAUCAGUGAAUCCCAGUAGGGGUACUACAUGCAAGCUUUGGGAAAUUAAGUUUCAAGCUGAGAGUGACUUAUAAGUUCAUGGCAAAAGCAGCAACACGAGUACGCAACCACAAGCAAGCUGAGGAGGUAAUAAUCUUGGUAGUUAAGUCUUUGAUUCAGUAUUUUGCUUUUGGAUACAUGUUUGCUGCUAUUUCAGAACAAUGAAACUUAUUUAGCAUUUCGUUUCUUAUAUGCUUCAUGCAAAUAAAACUGCAGUAAACAUAUGAACCGAGAUUUUGCUUGGCAUGUGUAUGUACGCAUGCGAUGAAUUUGCUUAGCAUUUUUAUGCAUACAACUAUUGGAAGCUUUUACAUGUCCUGGAACUGAGCUUUUGCAUGCCCUGUGUUUUCUGAAGCUGAGUCUUUUGUUAUUGGGUUGUACUUGCAACAGAGUCACAGGCUCCUGCCAUAUAACCAUUUAUGAAUUGCAUAUGUGAUGCCUUAAUUAAAGUCUUCUUCUAUGAGCCUCUACCUUGUGCAAAUAAUAUGAUUAUUUAGCAGCCUGGUUUCAUAGCUUUGAAUCUCAUGUGAAUAAACUAUAUGUCUAGGUGUUAGAUGUUCUUUGCUUAACUAGAUAUCGAAGUAUAAACAACAAGCUCAUGUACAAGAUGGCAAUUAUGAUGGCUAUUUAGUUUAUUUCAUUGAUUCUCGGCAUAUUAAUUGAUUGUAACGUCCUAGCUUUAUUUAAGGAGAUGUAAAAGAAACAAGUAAUCUCCCUUUUCCUUUCUUUUACAAUUGUCAUAAUUUUAUAUGACCUUUUUUAGUCAAUCUGUUGUCGAUGGUCUGAAUUUUUAGAUAAUUUAAAUUUGUGAUGAAUUCUCAAAUUGAUUAGGAAGACUGGAUUUGUAAAACUUUGCUUAUAUCCUUCAAAUAACUUGAACUAACUAUUUUCUCUGCAGUUACAUAUAUGCAUAUCUUAUGCUCAUUUCACCAAAGUUUGGCCAACCUUUUGGUGUCUAUUAUUUGUGUACGUUUCAUCGCUUUAGAAGUAAUAUUCAAUCCAAAGCUUUUCUUUAAUAGAGCAAUUCAGCUAGUAUGUUUGCAAGCAAAUUUAUGCCAGGACAAGUACUAGUAGUGGAGCCAAGAACAUAUUAGGGCACGAUGGUUAAUGGAUUAUUCACGCAGGUUCCUGUCAAACUUUGCUAUCAAUUUAUUGCCAUAUCCUCCGGCAUGCAAAUUCGCUCAAAGUCAUUUAAAAUCUGGGAGUUUCCAGGGAACACAUAUGGAACUGGGAUAUAUGGGUUUCUACAAGUUUUGCGCUUCAUAUUUCAACUAGUUCCAGUCAAAGCCAAUUUCAUGUUUCUGGUUACAAGAAAAAUCAGUUAACACUUAACUAGGUUUAAACAAGUUUCUUCAUACAAACAGAUUUCUGGUUAUCAGCAAAAUCAGUUAGCACUUAAGUAGAUUUCAGCUAGUUUCAUAUAGGUGUUGUUUUGCAAUAUGCUUGACCAAGGCCACCAUAGUUACUAUGAAUGUCUACAUUCAGUUAAACCUAAGAUACACCCUUUGUUCUCAGGAUUUUGUUAGCAGCUUGUUAAUAAUGCACUUGCCUCUAAAUUGUCAGUUACCUCUGAGUUGAUACAUUUUACUGUCUCGAGAUUCUUUUGGCGUCCCUGAACAGUUUCCGCUGAUCCAAAUUAUCAUCCCUCAUGUUAUGGGCCUCAAAGAGUAGCUGAAAGACUCAUUUAAGCUGCAAGUGGAUAAGUCUAGCAAAUGCAGUAAUGUGACCACAAGCCAGUUGAGGAGGUUUCUCAAGAUACACAAGUUGUUGGAGGUUUGGAAGAUCUACAAGUUGCUGGAGGUUUUGAAGGUCUGACAAGUUGCUGGAGUGAUGAUAUAUAUGUAAUAUGUCUUGUUUGUCGAACCUCCAUAUAUUGACAAGUUUUACACUGGUCAUUUUGGUGGUUGUUUCAGCAGACAAGCCAUUGUAUGCCAAUUUUGGUUGUGUGGCACGAUUUCUUUACCUUAAACAUAUGUACUUUGCAUUUUGAGGCAUAAUGUCUAUAUAUGUAUGGUUCAUGCAUGUGUUAAAAACA
This is a non-coding RNA of Triticum urartu, 2706 nucleotides long. NCBI's taxonomy places the organism in Eukaryota, Viridiplantae, Streptophyta, Magnoliopsida, Poales, Poaceae. The record is from RefSeq and is a predicted model, not a curated record.